CACUAUACUCCAAUAAUCUUCUCCCACCCUCAGUAUACAUAAGUUGUUAAUUGUUAUAAAAAAAUUAAAAAAGCUUCGUAAUAAUGUAUUUCCAACGAUACACCAGGUUUGGCAACAGUGGGUGCGCGACUGCUCAUGUCAAAGCCGGCGCGCAUGCGCGGCGGCGCUGGCGUCGCUCACUGCUUUGGACAGCUUCGCGACACUGGCAGAUGCGCUUGCGCAGGCUGUCAUGAGCGAGACGGAGCCAGCGGACUGGCGGGAGCUGAGCGCGCAGUGGGG
RNAcentral lists this unclassified non-coding RNA (279 nucleotides) under Melitaea cinxia (Glanville fritillary). RNAcentral describes it as "misc RNA ENSMCXG00005017820.1". The record is from RNAcentral. Lineage: Eukaryota; Metazoa; Arthropoda; Insecta; Lepidoptera; Nymphalidae.